RNAcentral lists this unclassified non-coding RNA (1707 nucleotides) under Leishmania donovani. RNAcentral's name for it is "gene:LdHU3.07.1510(CDS-product:ATP_synthase_subun it_C_putative)". Lineage: Eukaryota; Euglenozoa; Kinetoplastea; Trypanosomatida; Trypanosomatidae. The record is from RNAcentral.
AUCGGCUUCUGUUUUCGCUUUCAUAUAACUUUAAAAUCUUUCCUUGAAGCAAGAUGAUGCGCCGUGUGAUCGCCCAGCCCGUCGCCCGUCGCGCGGCGGCCGCCUCCAGUGCGCUCGUGGUUGCCCCUCGCCAGGCCUCCACUGUCGCCCUCUCCGUCCAGGGCCUGCACUACGUCGGCACCGGUCUCGCCGCCAUCGCCCUCGGUGGUGUUGGCUUGGGUAUCGGUGCCAUCUUUGGCUGCCUGCUGAUAGGCUGCGCUCGCCAGCCCAACCUGACCAAGAUGCUCUUCAACUACGCCAUUCUCGGCUUCGCCCUGACGGAGGCCAUUGGCCUGUUCGCGCUGAUGCUCGCCUUCCUCAUGCUCUUCUCGUAGGGUACUUGACGUCUGCGUGAUAAUUCCGUAGCAGCAACGAAGACAGACAGAAAAGGAACUCCUCGGGGGCGGCCGUGAGGCAGAACACCGUCGGGGUAGGGCGAGGGACGAGUAAUGCCGCAAACGGUGGGCGACGAAGACAUGAGAGGAGAAAGCGACUGCCGAGUGAAUCGACCGUGUCGGCAUCUUCUUCACGUUCGCUGCUCGCGCGUGCUUGCCGUGAGUCUGCCACUGCUCAUCCCUCUCCCUCAGCAGUGGUCUUGCGUGCCACAUUUCACCCCGCCCCGCCUCCCCCCCGACCUCUCCGUGUGUCCACAAGCUCCCCUUUACGUAUAGCCCUCCCUCCCUCUCUCCUCUCUCUCCCUGUCUGUCUAGGGUGCCUUGUGCCGGGAGGGAGGCAUGUCCGCGUGACGCUGUGCACGUGCGUGUGUGUGUCUCCGUAGCGGGUGCGUGCGGGGUGGCUGGCAGUGGCACUCUUCUUCGUUGUUUCUUUUUUUGUUUCGUUCCCUUGUGUUAGCCGUUUUCGUAUUCCUUUCGUGUGCCUCUGUUUAACCUAGCGGAUCUUCCCUCUCAGCGAAGUGGUGACGCGGAGGAAGGGGGAGACAGGGACGGUGCGACCGGAGGCCAGCCGGGAAGGAGUCCGGCACGCCGCCCUUGUGUGACGCCCGCCGCGGCGGCUGUGGGCACUGCUCGUCUCUCUUCCCAUCUAUCCUUCUCCCUGGCAACUGUAUCUCUCCCUCUUGUUGUCUUGCCUUCUCUGUUGAUGCGUGUGUUGAGGGUGCCUGUGGUGUCGCUGAGAGCGACACUACACAGAGCAUCGUAAGCGAAGGGAAAAUCAAAAAAAAAAACGUGAAGAACACCGGAUUGCGGCGGAGGCUUUCCCCACUAGCUGGCGCCGCGAGGAAGGAGCGCCGCAGCUCCCGUGUGGAGUAUGGUGAGAUGGCAUGUUGCCGUGUGCGAAUCCCUUUCCCGCCCUCUCGCGUCUCUUCCUGAUUGCCUCAGUGCACCCAGCUCCCCGCGGCUGCGCGAAAAAGGGGCUUUGUGGACGCACCAAGACGGAAGCCCACGUGUGCUCACCGUCGUUCCCAUUUGUGCUCUGCAUCUUAGGCGGCGAGCGCGCACUGUUUUUUGCCCUAUAAUGCUGAUGACUGCGGCAGGAAUGGCGCUGUGAGAGACGGCUCUACCUCACCCUCACCCCAAUCAUUCUACUCCACGUAUGUGUGGCUCUCUUUCGGUCUCUGGUGAUGAUGACGCCCGGUUUCCUUUUGUUGUCUGCGUGCACGCUGCCCCCACGCUCCACCUCACAUGUGUGCACGCCGUCACACCUACGAAG